GGCACUAUAGUGUAGAGGUUAUCACUUGGGAUUUUGAUCCGCUUUGGAUUCCCAAAACCCAGGUUCGAACCCUGGUAGUGCCU
This is a non-coding RNA of Pleurotus ostreatoroseus, 83 nucleotides long. NCBI's taxonomy places the organism in Eukaryota, Fungi, Basidiomycota, Agaricomycetes, Agaricales, Pleurotaceae. The record is from the annotation of a GenBank genome assembly.